This is a long non-coding RNA of Pan troglodytes (chimpanzee), 6664 nucleotides long. RefSeq lists it as uncharacterized. Lineage: Eukaryota; Metazoa; Chordata; Mammalia; Primates; Hominidae. The transcript is spliced from 7 exons. The record is from RefSeq and is a predicted model, not a curated record.
CUCUGGAAAAGACUCCAUAGUGUGGAAUUGUCUCUGGAAGACAUGUGCCCCACUGGAGACUACAUUUCCCAGCAUCCUUGGCAUCUAGGUGUGACCAUGUGACUAGUCUCCACCAAUGGAAUGUGAGCAGGAGUGGUGAGUGUCACUUCCAGGCAGGGCCUCGAGGAAGUAGGUGAGCUUCUCCAUCCCUGUCUGUCUAGAUGCAGAGAACCCAAAGCCCUGCAGGAUGGCAAAGCUGCAACAUGGAAGUCACCCGGAUCACCACGUAAAGGAAAUCUCUCCAACCAGGAACAAAUACCUGCCUUGCAAUAUUAGGUGGCCACCAGACUUUCUCUGCUUGUAUCCUCCCAGGACCACAGAACUCAUCGCAUCCCAAGGCAGCCUAUUCCAUCAUGGAUGAGCUCAAAGUGUUUGAAAGUUCUGCUUUAUCAAAGACAAGGUCUCACUAUGUUGCCCUGGCUGGUCUCUAACUCCUGGCCUCAAGCAGUCCUCUUAUCUCAGCUUUCCAAAGUGCUGGGAUUACAGAACCCUUGAUGGCCUGCUUCCCAUCCUCCAUCCUGGAAGACUGAUCUGAAACCCCAGGAGGAGGUCCUCUGAGCCCUGAGGCAGAGAUAUCUCACCUGGAAGAUGGGUCUAAUGACUGCACCCCACACACACCAGAGAGGACUGCAGAUAGUGCGGGGUGAGAGGAAGAUCUCUGGCCCUGGAGACAGCAUCAUCAAGCGGUAGCUUCAUCUUUGGGAGCUGGGGCCUCUGCAGGAGCUUUACCCUCCUCUCUCCAUGCUGAGCCUGUCUCAACCCCCUAACCUGCACCCCAGUCUUUUGGGGUCACCUCAAGGCUUUGGCUGAUGCUUCUUUGCUGACGUCAACCAAGAUGAUGGACCCAUUUGUCCUCAUAAAGUAACUCUUGAACAUACAUGCACUUCUCCCUCCCUCCUCUUGCUUUGAAGGGUGGGUGGGCACCUGCCACCAUGGGCAGGGUGAGGGCCAGCCCCAUACCCCCGAUGUCAGAAGGCAGCUGCCCCUGGCCUGUGGGUUUCUCUCAGAGGGGCCAGGUCUUCCUCACCACGUGUCCCCAGCACCUAGCCUGGGGCCCAGCCCAGGGUCACACUCAGUAAAUACUGGCUGAGAAUUAAGGGGGAACUUUCUCGUUCCCCUCCAACACUUUUCUUUUCUUUUUUUUGAGACAGAGUCUCACUCUGUCGCCCAGGCUGGAGUGCUGUGGUGCGAUCUCGGCUCACUGCAACCUCCACCUCCCAGAUUCAAGUGAUUCUCCUGCUUCAGCCUCCUGAAUAGUUGGGAUUACAGGUGCCCGUCACCACGUCUGGCUAAUUUUUGUAUAUUUAGUAGAGACGGGGUUUUGCAUGUUGACCAGGCUGGUCUCGAACUUUUGACCUCAAGUGAUCCACCCGCCUUGGCCUCCCAAAGUGCUGGAAUUACAGGCAUGAGCCACCGCACCCGGCACCAACGCUUUUCUGCAAGUGCUAGUGUCUGCCAUAGAGACAUCUGUGCACGCCCAGGGGCGGCUGAGGGGCCAUAAGCCUCCUUUGACUCCAUUAUCUUGCCUGUGCAGGCCAGACGAUUGCCUGAACCCACAACAGCUUCGCCAGAAGAGGGGCUUACUCAUCACUUCCACACAACCUGUUCCCCUCCCCCACUGGGACCAGCUGGGGUUGAGGGGGUGAGGGUCAGGCUGGGAAAGGCUCCUGGAGAUUGCAUUUGCAACCUACCCCUCCCCUGCCAACCUCUAUUACCACACUGAGAGGAACAGGGAGACAUCACUAAAUUGAGGACCUAGGUAGAGGGAGAAGAAGAGAGUGUCCUGUCAGCCUUCAAAGGUUAUUCAGAGCUCUUGGUGCAGGAAGGCCCUGCUAGAAAACUCCAAGAGUCCAGGAGGGCCUUGGGCAUAAAAGCUCAGAGUUGUCCUCAAGAAGCAACUGCAUGGCAGUUAUAUCAGAUGCACAUUCAACAAUAAUAAUAGCAAACCCUUACACAGAUCUACAAGCCCUUAUCCACACUUCAGAGAUCCCAGUGUUUCUGAACAAAAUAAUGUACGUGUAACACCAAAACUCAUUGGGUAGCCAAAACCUAACCUGAACAGAUGUAUGAAUACUCGUAUAUUGUUUUCUGCAGAAAUAUUAAUGUGUUUCGUUAUGGGAUGCUAAGCCAGAUCCCACUACCCACUAGUGUGUUAUAUAAGUCAUGUGCUUUCCAAAACCCCAAAACUCCCUAAAUUCCAAAAUGCAUCAGGACCCUGAGACACUGGAGUUUCAGUUAAGGAGUUGUGACCUGUGUAGCUUCCUCCAUGACAGGCACUGUUCUAACUGCUCUCCAUAAUAUUAACUCAUUCAAUCCUUACAAUGACCUGACAGAGUAGAACUUACUAUUAUUCUUCCAAUUUUAUAGAUAAGGAAACUGAGGCAGAGAGAGGUAAAGUGACUUGCCCAAACACAUACAGCUAAUGAAUGCUGGAACUGAAGCUUCCAGAGCCUAGUUCCAGAGCCCACUCUCCGAACAAGUCUACCAUCUAUUUCCCUUAAAAGGGCUGGUGAGGCCGGGCGCAGUGGCUCACACCUGUAAUCCCCAGCACUUUGGAAGGCUGAGGUGGGUGGAUCACCUGAGGUCAGAAGUUUGAGACCACCCUGCCAACAUGGUGAAACCCCAUCUCUACUAAAAAUACAAAAAUUAGGUGGGUGUGGUGGCGGGCACCUGUAAUCUCAGCUACUUGGGAGGCUGAGGCAGGAGAACUGCUGGAACCCAGGAGGCGGAGGUUGCAGUGAGCCGAAUCCGUGUCAUUGCACUCCAGCCCAGGCCGACAACAGCAAGAAUCCGUACAAAAAAAAAGGCUGGUGAGAGGGGCGUGGAGGUUGAGGGGUGUGGUAAACAGUAGGAGAUAACGAUUUUAUGUUGUGUGUGUGCUAUGGUUUGGAUGUGGUUUGUCUCCUCCAAAAUGCAUGUAGAAACUUGGUCCCCAAUGUAAUGGUAUUGGGAGGUGGGGCCUUUAAGAGGGGAUUAGGUCAUUAGGAGGGAUUAAUGCCUUUCUCACAGGAGUGGGUUAAUUCUCACAGGAGUGGGUGAGUUAUUGAGAGCAGUUCAUUACAAAAGUGAGUUUGGCUUCCUCGGCUUUCUCUUGCUUCCUCGGCUUUCUCUUGCUUCCUCUCACCCUACGAUGCAUUCUGCUGUGUUACAACACAGCACGAGGCCCUCACCAGAAGCUGACCAGAUCCAGCCACCCUGUCUUGGACUUCCCAGCCUCCAGAACUGUAAAAAACAAACCCCUUUUCUUUGUCAAUUACCCAGUCCCAUGGGUUCUAUGACAGCAACAGAAAGUGGACAAAUUGUGUAACAUGCACAUGUCCAGGAGGGUGUGUGAGAGGUAAUCCUGUUGUUACAGUUGUUCUGUAGGGUGACCAACAAUUGGGAAUUUCCCUGGGACUGUUUUGGUUUUAGCACUGAAAACUCUGUAUUUCAAUAAACUACUCAGACCUGGUAAACCAGGAUGGUUGGUCACCCUAGUUCUUGGCCUCUUUUCCUAUGAGCAACAUGAGGCUCAUGACCCACUGAGGAAGAUUCUAGGAUUUGAAGAUGCACUUUGUCUACAUAACACAGCUUCUCAACCCAAACCAGGAUCUCCAGCAGGCACUUACUCAAGACAUGGGGAAGAAGCCCCGGAGAAAAUGCUGGCUGUAUCAGAUUCAGCGAGGGACGAUGCCUCUGUCUCCACCUGGCAUCUUCCUAAGAGGUUUUCAAGGACCAAUGUGACUCUAUCAGGCUUUCACCUUGAGUGUUGAUGCUGGCCUCCAUUGUAAAUACAGUGGGAAUACACUUGAUAUUCUAAUUUAGAAAUGCCUGACUCUCAUCACCAGCUUUGAAUUUUAACUCCUCAAAGUCCAAAGUGAUUUCUUAGGAAUGACCCACACCAUGAGCUCAUAUCUAUCUUCCUGAGGCCUGCCCAGACCUGUCGAAGUAGAGAGAAGACAAGGCCCCUGCUUUUGAGAAGCAGAAAACGUAUGAGGAAGAAAAUAGCAGAUGAGAAGAAUCAACCAAAUUCCGGAAGCUGGAAGGCAGAUGCAAGAAGGCCCUUGAAUGAUGCCAGCACCUUGAUAUUGGACUUUCCAGCCUCCAGAACCAUGAGCCAAUACAUUUCUGUUCCAUAAAAAUUACCCAGUUCCAGGUAUUCUGCUAUAGCAGCACAAAAUGGACUAAAACAAUGUUGGCACAAGACUCAGUGCUGGGCCUGGCAUGCAACAGGUCCUUGGGAUGGUGGAAGCCUGGGCUCAGUGGGACUGUCAACUGGAAUGGCCAUAUGUGGACUCUCUUAGCAUGAUGGUCUCUUCUAGAAGCUUGGGUUCCCAGAGAGAAUGUUCAAGAGGCCCCAAAGGACACCACAAAGCUUCUUUAUGACCAAGGCUCGGAAAUCCAGGAAGCUUGCUCCCAUCACGCUCUAUUACUCCAACAAGUCACUCAGGCCAGCCCAGGUCCAAGAGGAGGAAACCUAGACUCCAUCUUGCAAUGUGAAGAACUGCAAAUAAUUUGUGUCACCCUUAAGCAACCAGCAACUCAUCUAGGUUGAUUGUCAUUUCAGCAAUGUGGUGGGAAGUGGUGGGACUGAUGUUGAAGAGGGACUUGAAUGUCAUGAGAGGCUGGGGAGGUAAUAAGGUGGGGAGUGAAGUUUCUCGAGUCAGAUUCAAAUUUAAACCCCAGUUUUGCCACUUACAACCCAUGAGCCAAGCAGGCUGUCUCUCUAUCUGAACCUCAGUGUCCUCAUCUGUAAAAUGAGGAGAACACCUCCUACAUCUGAGGAUGACUGUAAAGAUGAAAUGGGAUGGGUGCUUAUAAAGUGCUUCCCAGUGUACCUGGCUCCAAACCUGUCUCAGUAAAUGGCAGCCCCUAUUAUUGAACCCGAGUAACACAGAGAGCCAAGAAAGGAUCUUACAAAAAACUCCCCUGGCUUUGACAAUGUAUGAGACCCACUGAUAGGGUUUGGCUUUGUGUCCUCACACAAAUCUCAUCUAGUAGCUCCCAUAAUUCCUACAUGUUGUGGGAGAGACUCGGCGGGAGAUAAUUGAAUCAUGGGGGAUGGUCUUUCCCAUGCUGUUCUUGUGAUAGUAAAUAAGUCUCACAAGAUCUGGUGGUUUUAAAAAUGGGAGUUUCCCUGCAGGAGCUCGCUCUCUGUCUACUGCCAUCCAUGUAAGACGUGACUUGCUCCUCCUUUGCCUUCCGCCAUGAUUGCAAGGCCUCCCCACCAUUGUGGAACUGUAAGUCUAUUAAAGCCUCUUUCUUUUGUAAAUUACCCAGUCUCAGGUAUGUCUUUUUUUUUUUCUUCAUGAGAUGGAGUUUCGCUCUUGUUGCCCAGGCUGGAAUGCAAUGGUGUAAUCUUGGCUCACCACAACCUCCGCCUCCCAGGUUCAAGUGAUUCUCCUGCCUCAGCCUCCCAAGUAGCUGGGAUUACAGUCAUACACCACCACGCCUGGCUAAUUUUGUAUUUUUUUUUUUUUUUAGUAGAGAUGGGGUUUCACCAUGUUGGUCAGGCUGGUCUCAAAAACUCCCGACCUCAGGUGAUCCUCCUGCCUUGGCCUCCCAAAGUCCUGGGAUUACAGGCAUGAACCACUGCGCCCAGGCUCGGGUAUGUCUUCAUCAGCAGCAUGAAAAUAAUGGACUAAUACAGCCACCCUCUCCCUCACUCCCACAUACAACCAAACCCCAAAUCCAGCUGAUUUUACACCCAAAAUGCAGCUUGAAUAUGAGUUUCUCCGCUUCCCCCACUGAUAUCACUAUGCCCUACCCAGACCAUGGCAGUUGCCUCCUUCCUGGUAUCCUGUCCUCCCUCACCCCCGCUGGCCCCCUGUAAUGCCCUCCCCUCACAGCAGGGAGCCCAGGCUUCUCAAAGUGCCCUGUGGGUGCGAACCACCUGGGGGUCCUGUUUGUAUAAAAUACAGAUUCUACUUCAGUAGGUCUGGGAUGGGGUCUGAAAGUCUGCAUUUGUAGUCAGCUCCCAGGUGAUGUGGGUGCUGAUGAUUCCUGGAUCACACUUUCAGUAGCUGGAGAAUAUUUUUUCCAAAUAAAAGGGUGAUUUUGUCUCGCCUCCACUUAAAACACUCCACUGACUUCCUAGCAAUCCCACACCAUCGCUGGGUCCCACAUCCCUGGCAGGAUUCAGCUCCCAUCAGACCUUCUAGCCCCUUGCUCUCCAUUCUCCCACUCUCUCUUUCCCCCUUGUUUAUGGGUUUGUUAAUUUAUUUAUGAUGAAAUGAAGCUACCAUCCACCCCAGUACUGGAACAUUAUCAAUAACCUGUGUGUGGCCAGGCGUGGUGGCUCAUGCCUGUAAUCACGCCUUGGGAGGCCGAGAUGGGUGGAUCAUGUGAGGUCAGGUGUUCGAGACCAGCCUGGCCAACAUGGUGAAACCCCGUCUCUACUAAAAAUCCAAAACUUAGCAGGGCACGGUGCCACGCGCCUGUAAUCCCAGCUACUCGGGACGCUGAGGCAGAGAACUGCUUAAAAUCCAGGAGGUGGAGGUUGCAGUGAGCCGAGAUUUCGCCACUGCACUCCAGCCUGGGCGACAGAGCAAGAGUCUAUCUCAAAAAAACAAAAACAAAAACAAAAAAACAAAAAACAAAAAUUAGCCAGGCGUGGUUGUGGGCGCCUAUAAUCCCAGCUACUCGG